AAAGUAGAGGUUGCGUAUUGCAUCAGUAAGCGGAUGGAUGUGCCAGACACAGAUAAAGUCCACUGAAAGGGUAACACGCCGAAAGGUAACGGUAUCUGGAGCCGGUAUCUUGGGUAUACAGUUAAGAGCUGUAUAACUGUCAUCUUUUAGAGAUGGAGGGCUGCUUUU
This 168-nucleotide non-coding RNA is filed under the name bovine gut metagenome. Its description in RNAcentral is "Lysine riboswitch". It matches the Rfam family "Lysine riboswitch aptamer". From Rfam's summary of the family: Riboswitches are metabolite binding domains within certain messenger RNAs that serve as precision sensors for their corresponding targets. The record is from RNAcentral.